This 67-nucleotide microRNA precursor is filed under the name Brassica rapa (field mustard). Its description in RNAcentral is "pre miRNA mir-286". It matches the Rfam family "mir-286 microRNA precursor family". The record is from RNAcentral. Lineage: Eukaryota; Viridiplantae; Streptophyta; Magnoliopsida; Brassicales; Brassicaceae.
GCGACCGAGCGAGACGAUUGCUCGGUCGCUAUGUAGCGACCGAGCACUCGUCUCACUCGGUCGCUAC